Molecule: ribosomal RNA, 503 nt
Filed under: uncultured bacterium
Lineage: Bacteria
Description: bacterial SSU rRNA
Rfam family: Bacterial small subunit ribosomal RNA
Source: RNAcentral
GACGAACGCUGGCGGCGUGGAUUAGGCAUGCAAGUCGGACGGUAGGGCUUUAUCGUAAGAUAGAGUUUGAGAGUGGCGAACGGGUGAGUAACACGUAGGAAUCUACCCUUAAGACGGGGACAACCCAGGGAAACUUGGGCUAAUACCGGAUGAGAGUGCGAGAGAUUGCAUUUAAAAGGAUGGCGAAAGUUAUCGCUUAGGGAUGAGCCUGCGGUCUAUUAGUUAGUUGGUGGGGUAAGAGCUCACCAAGGCGAUGAUAGAUAGGCGGCCUUAACGGGUGGUCGCCCACACUGGGAUUGAGAUACGGCCCAGACUCCUACGGGAGGCAGCAGUCGAGAAUAGUCUACAAUGGCCGGAAGGCUGAUAGUGCGACGCCGCGUGAACGAGGGAGCCCUUCGGGUGUAAAGUUCUUUUCUAUACGAGCAGUGCUAUAUAUAUGGAUAGUAUAUAUAGAGGGAUAGUAGUAUAGGAAUAAGCAACGGCUAACUCCGUGCCAGCAGCCG